GACUAACGCUGGCGGCGUGCCUAAUACAUGCAAGUCGAACGGUCAUGCAUUUGUAGUAAUAUGAGUGCAUGGUAGUGGCGAACGGGUGAGUAACACGUGGAUAACCUACCUUUAUGUGGGGGAUAACUCCGGGAAACUGGGGGCUAAUACCGCAUGACAUCAUUCUGGGGGCAUCUCAGGAUGAUCAAAGUCGUAAGACGCAAAAAAGAUGGAUCCGCGUCCCAUCAGCUAGUUGGCGGGGUAAUGGCCCACCAAGGCUUUGACGGGUAGCCGGACUGAGAGGUCGAUCGGCCACAAGGGGACUGAGACACGGCCCCUACUCCUACGGGGGCUG
This 334-nucleotide ribosomal RNA is filed under the name uncultured bacterium. Its description in RNAcentral is "bacterial SSU rRNA". It matches the Rfam family "Bacterial small subunit ribosomal RNA", at positions 28 to 351 of the family's 1533-position model. The record is from RNAcentral.